AUUGAACGCUGGCGGCAGGCCUAACACAUGCAAGUCGAGCGCGAAAGUCCUUCGGGGCAAGUAGAGCGGCGGACGGGUGAGUAAUGCUUGGGAAUCUACCUAGUAGUGGGGGAUAACGUGUGGAAACGCACGCUAAUACCGCGUACGUCCUACGGGAGAAAGCAGGGGAUCUUCGGACCUUGUGCUAUUGGAUGAGCCCAAGUCGGAUUAGCUAGUUGGUGGGGUAAUGGCUCACCAAGGCGACGAUCCGUAGCUGGUCUGAGAGGAUGAUCAGCCACACUGGGACUGAGACACGGCCCAGACUCCUACGGGAGGCAGCAGUGGGGAAUAUUGGACAAUGGGCGAAAGCCUGAUCCAGCCAUGCCGCGUGUGUGAAGAAGGCUCUAGGGUUGUAAAGCACUUUCAGUAGGGAGGAACGGUUGUUGAUUAAUACUCACCAAUUUUGACGUUACCUACAGAAGAAGCACCGGCAAACUCCGUGCCAGCAGCCGCGGUAAUACGGAGGGUGCGAGCGUUAAUCGGAAUUACUGGGCGUAAAGCGCGCGUAGGUGGUUUGAUAAGCUAGCUGUGAAAGCCCUGGGCUCAACCUGGGAACUGCAGUUAGAACUGUCUGGCUAGAGUACAGUAGAGGGUGGCGGAAUUUCCUGUGUAGCGGUGAAAUGCGUAGAUAUAGGAAGGAACAUCAGU
This 687-nucleotide ribosomal RNA is filed under the name bacterium IMCC7677. RNAcentral's name for it is "bacterial SSU rRNA". It matches the Rfam family "Bacterial small subunit ribosomal RNA", at positions 28 to 713 of the family's 1533-position model. The record is from RNAcentral.